Molecule: unclassified non-coding RNA, 4742 nt
Filed under: Hevea brasiliensis (rubber tree)
Lineage: Eukaryota; Viridiplantae; Streptophyta; Magnoliopsida; Malpighiales; Euphorbiaceae
Source: RNAcentral
AAAAUAAAAAGACAAAUUCCACCUUAAUCCUUUUUCAUACUGUAUAAUGCACACUGAACUGUUAAAACGUGUAUACGUAGAAAUAUUGUGGAAUUAUGGAUAAUGGUGAGUAUUCAAUGCCUUACCCACCUAAAAUCAAAUUUACGAACCCGUCUCCUCCUCCUCUUCCAACCCAAAACCAAACAAUCAUUUCUGCGGCUGGCUUCCUCAAAAUUGCGUCUGCUUUCUUUGUGUUGCUCCAUAUCAUCGGCGAAUGCAUUCCAAAAAGGCACUUCUUUGUCCAAGGAGCAAACCCUUAUGUCCCUUCUCAUGAAAUGCUCCGCCAUGAAAGAUUUGCUACAAAUCCAUGCUCGUAUUAUCCAAUCUGGCUUUGAACAAAACCUCUUUGUCAUAGGCAAAGUCAUCGUAUUUUGUGCUGAUUCAGAGCGUGGAGAUAUGAAUUUCGCUGUUCCAGUUUUUGAAAAUAUUGGAAACCCAGAUGGGUUUCUUUGGAAUACAAUGAUUAGGGGUUUUAGCAAGACUUCUGAGCCUCUAAAAGCCUUUGACUACUAUAAGAGAAUGCAAGGGAAAGGAUUGGUGGCGGAUAAUUUCACUUUCUCUUCCUUGCUCAAGGCUUGUGGGCAGGUGGGCUCAGUUUUGGUGGCCGAACAAAUGCAUUGCAGUACAUUAAAGCAUGGUCUCGAAUCACACCUCUUCGUUAGGAACGCUCUAAUACAUAUGUACGGCAUGUUCAAGUACAUUGAAACAUCACGCCAGCUGUUUGAAGAAAUUCCCAGUCCAGAAUUAGUAGCAUGGAACACGAUUAUUGGUUGCUAUGUCUAUUGCGGUAGGUGCAGAGAAGCACUUGAUAUGUUCUCUCGGAUGUUGAAAUUUGGUAUAGAGCCUGAUGAAGCCACAUUGGUUGAAACCCUUGCAGCAUGCUCUGCGCUGGGAGCAUUAGAUUUUGGGAAAUGGGUUCAUUCUUGUAUUAGUAAUACUGGUCUUGGGAGCCUUUUAGAGGUCAAUAAUUCGCUGAUUGAUAUGUAUGCUAAGUGUGGUGCUGUGGAAGAGGCGUAUGAGACAUUCUAUAGGAUGAAAAAGAGGAAUACAAUAACAUGGAACACAAUGAUUUUGGGGCUAGCAACUCAUGGCCAAACAAAUGAGGCAUUGGCACUAUUUUCGAAAAUGUUAGAACAGAAGCUUUUGGAACCAGAUGGUGUAACUUUCUUGGGGGUUCUUUGUGCUUGCAGCCAUGGCGGGAUGGUGGAAGAAGGAAGAAAUUUUUUUGGUAUUAUGAGCAAAGAAUAUCUUAUUCAACCAACAAUAAAGCACUAUGGGUGCAUGGUGGAUAUUCUGGGUCGUGCUGGGUUUGUGGAGGAGGCCUAUGGAUUGGUAAGGAGCAUGCCAAUGGAGUGCAAUGCCAUCGUGUGGAGGACAUUGUUGGCCGCUUGUAGGUUGCAUGGAAAUGUUGAACUCGGGAAGCAGGUGCGGAGACAUCUUUUGCAAUUAGAACCAAAUCAUAGCAGCGAUUAUGUUCUUCUUUCAAACAUUUAUGCAAGUUUGGGGCAGUGGAAUGAAGUAAUGAGAGUGACAAAAUCAAUGCAGAAUAGGGGAGUCCUGACCGUGGUAAUUGCUUCAUUGGCAUGCAUCUUAGCAUGAGGAUUAAGUUCCUCACAAGUUACUACAAAUGCGAGUUAUUACCUUCUUGCAAUCGAUGUAGCCGAGCUUGCUUAAUGCAAGCUAUUACCAGGAUUGAUUUGAAAAUGGACAGUUUAGAUAUGAAUGAUGGAAUCCAUCAGAGCUUGUUUUAGUGCGAGGGAAACUGCCACUGCAACUAGAAUUACUGCAAUUAAAAUGUUCACAACAAAAUCAAAAACCGGAUAUUAGUGACUUAUAGAGACAUUCCUGUUGGCAAUAAGAUUGUGAUCUGUGUCCAAGAAGUCCAAGAAACCUUUCAGUACAUAGAAGAUGUCUCUAGUUUGAUAACACAACAUCACACGCCAAAUUUUCCAUUUUGAUUCUAAAUUAAAGUAGCAUCAUAGUUGCCCGUUUGAUGACUCUGUAAGCUAAGUGGAUUUCUUUCGUUUAUUGUCCUUCCAUUCCUUGAUCUCCGCAUCUAUCUUUGCCUUGACACUUGCAUGAAACCCUGGAUAUGGUUCAUAUCUGAAGACUUUUUGAAGAACCUCGAGCAAUACAAAGAAAGGAGCCAUCAGAAAGGCUUGUACAAGGUUGUCAAGAAGAGCAGGAGCCCGUUUCUACAGAAGAAUAUACCAGCUGGGAUUAUAAAUUUAGAGGUAAAUCAAAGCAACAUAUAUCAUUCAUAAAUCAGAAUACUAUAGAAUGCAGAGAACCUACCUCAAACACACCAUGGCCUAUAAACUGUCCAGUCCAACAAAACAAUUGUGCUGCCAGCACAACCUGAUUUAAAUUGAUGUUGCAACGAGUUAGUCCAAAUCCAGAUCAAAUUUAAAUAUUUCUGUCAACUACUCGUGAUAAAAUAUUCCAAAUAAUUGUUUUGGAGCUCCAAAUUCUAGGUAAGGAGACUUGGUAAAUAAACUUCUUAUCACGCCCUCAGGAUACUCCUUGCAUUUACAGUAUUCAACUGUUUUGCUUUGGUGUUUAUCCCUGGGGCACUUUCAAGAUAAUCUAUGGUUUUUGUAGAAAUGAUAUUAUCCUUAAAGAAACUGACAGCUGAAACUCUCAAUCAUGCUAGUUUAAUCAGCAAAAAAAAAAAAACCAAAGUAAACAAGAUUUUAUCAAUCCUAUGUUCUCUGGAACUGGAAGUAACUCCCAGAGAAAUUUUCCUAACUGGUCCCGCAACUAGGGUUCAAAGUUUUUCAUUUUCUUUUCAACAGCAAUUACAUCUGAUAGAAAACAUGACUCCAUAUAUUUAUGAACAAUCAGAUCUAUUUCAAACAAUUGAAAUGGCUUUACUGAUGUUUCCAUGUUUUAUUUUAUUUUCUAUUCACCAAGUUAGUAUGGUGCAUACUUAAAUGAAAAGGUCUCUGAAAAAAACUCCAAUAUGGUACAAACGCGAUACUGAACAAUGACAGAGAAAUUCAAGUCAAGAAAAUAUUGAUGUGGGGUGACAGAGAAAAGAUGUUGCGAUAGAAAAAAAAUAACACUUAAGACAAUUCAUACACGUGGCUCAAGUGAUCUAUUUUUGAAAAAUUGACCCACCAUUGCUGCUUGUCCUGAAAAAUUUUAAGAUUUAAUAAAAGUGAUAGUUUCAAACUUUUCCAAUUAGUUAGAAUGGCAAGCCACUUCCUGUCUUGCAUUCUUAACUGAACAUAGCUAUAUGAAAUUAGAGCUCUUUGAUACCAACAGACUUCAAAAUUUCCUCUGGUUAUGUAUUUUGUGUUUCGUGUCGUAUACAGACAAGGAUUGUACUUGGGUUGGCUAAGCUAGACUCGACCAUGGUCUGGCUCAAAAAUGGAACCAGAUUGUACCAACUCAGAACCGAAACCAAUCAAAACCAGAUUGACCAAAAUCAGUCUUGAACAGGACUGAAACUGGCCGGCUCAAUUUCUGAUCAAAACCAGAUUUCUUCUUUUAAAAAACAUAUAAAUUUGGAUAAAAAAAUCAUCAAUUAUAUUUGAUCAAAACAAGAACAGACCGGUGACCACCAUUAGGCUAAGCAGACAGAGGCUGCUUGCUUCAGCAUCUAAAAAUGAUGCAUUUGGCACCUGCUAAAGUGGCAACCAUUUUUUAGCAAGCCCAAAAUGUAAACAAAACACACAAUGACUUAUAGCCAUUAUCCAGUGAAUUGCUGAUGGUCAAACCUACAUGAUGAUUCGCUGCCAAAUUGGAAUUGUCUUCUUCUUUCUUCUUUAGUUUUCAUAUUCAAGAGUGUGAAAUGAACAAUUUAACAAACACGGUUCAAACCAUCACAAGUAAAAAAGAAUGAUUCAAAGCUCAGAAAUGGACUUUAUGGCCAAAACAAAAAUAAAAAAUAAAUAAAACUACCCAAAUUAUUUUCUAAAACUAUUGUCACAGACAGGCAUGUAGCACUUAUUUUAAGGUCUUCACAGGGGGAAGACUUUAUCCUUCUGCUAGAUCUACAAUAACAAUAAAUAAAAAAAUAACCAAAAAAUCCCUAAAUCCCGCAGCCGCAAGAGAUGCAAACAAUAAAAAAACCAAAAUUUAAUUACUAAAAGAAUAAAAAAAUAGGAUGCGAGAAGCAGGAGAUGCACAUCAUUCAAGAACAGAAUCCACAUGAAUUUAAUGCUAGGAGAAAAGAAGAACACUUAUCGAUUAAAAUAUCACAAAUUUAAAACAAGCCCUGACAUUAUCCAAAAGCGCAGAAAUUUUCCGUCUUUUCUAUAUUUCUCAUCAAUCAAACAGUACCUAAAUCAAAUUUACCUUCCAAGCCAAAGAAAAACCAAGCCUCCCAGAAAUGAAACUGGCACCAAUCCAACACGCAAAGCAAAGCAUAGCAGCCAAAGUUCCAGCUUUCUUAUCAAAGCACACAUAAAACACAGCAUAGAUUAGAGUGAAAAAGAAGCCAAAAUUCAGCGACAGUCCAUGACUACCACCAAACCCAAUUUGAGAUAUAUCGUAUAUCGAAGGUGUAAAGUAGAAGAGCAUAAGAGAAGUGAAGAAGAUUGGCCACACAAAUAAUGUAUGUAUGAAAAUGUUAAUCGGGUUGCUGUGGUAAGCUCCAUAGAAGGCAAAGUGGGUCUCCAAAUCAAAGAUUCCUGCCUUCUUAGCCAUUGAGAUUUUCUCGAGAAAAAAAUUGCGAGGCUUUCCAGGGAAUUUACGAG